GUAGGGAAUAUUGGUCAAUGGACGAAAGUCUGAACCAGCCAUUCCGCGUGCAGGAAGAAGAUUCUAUGGAUUGUAAACUGCUUUUAGCAGAGAAGAAACGCCUUCAUUGAUGAGGGUUUGACGGUAUCUGCGGAAUAAGCACCGGCUAACUCCGUGCCAGCAGCCGCGGUAAUACGGGGGGUGCAAGCGUUAUCCGGAAUCACUGGGUUUAAAUGGUGCGUAGGCGGGAAAUUAAGUCAGUGGUGAAAGUCUGUUGCUUAACGAUAGAAUUGCCGUUGAUACUGAUUUUCUUGAAUUGGGUUGAGGUUAGCGGAAUGUGACAUGUAGCGGUGAAAUGCAUAGAUAUGUCAUGGAACACCAAUUGCGAAGGCAGCUAGCUGGGCCUUGAUUGACGCUGAGGCACGAAAGCGUGGGUAGCGAACAGGAUUAGAAACCCUGGUAGUCC
Molecule: ribosomal RNA, 445 nt
Filed under: uncultured bacterium
Lineage: Bacteria
Description: partial 16S ribosomal RNA
Rfam family: Bacterial small subunit ribosomal RNA
Source: RNAcentral